GAUCCUGGCUCAGAUUGAACGCUGGCGGCAUGCCUUACACAUGCAAGUCGAACGGUAACAGGGAGCUUGCUCCGCUGACGAGUGGCGAACGGGUGAGUAAUAUAUCGGAACGUACCGUUCAGUGGGGGACAACGUAGCGAAAGUUACGCUAAUACCGCAUAUUCUGUGAGCAGGAGAGCAGGGGAUCGCAAGACCUUGCGCUGAUUGAGCGGCCGAUAUCAGAUUAGCUUGUUGGUGAGGUAAAAGCUCACCAAGGCGACGAUCUGUAGCGGGUCUGAGAGGAUGAUCCGCCACACUGGAACUGAGACACGGUUCAGACUCCUACGGGAGGCAGCAGUGGGGAAUUUUGGACAAUGGGGGCAACCCUGAUCCAGCCAUGCCGCGUGAGUGAAGAAGGCCUUCGGGUUGUAAAGCUCUUUCAGCCGGGAAGAAAACGCAUGGGUUAAUACCCUGUGUGGAUGACGGUACCGGAAUAAGAAGCACCGGCUAACUACGUGCCAGCAGCCGCGGUAAUACGUAGGGUGCGAGCGUUAAUCGGAAUUACUGGGCGUAAAGCGUGCGCAGGCGGUUUUGUAAGACAGGCGUGAAAUCCCCGGGCUUAACCUGGGAACUGCGUUUGUGACUGCAAGGCUAGAGUACGGCAGAGGGGGGUGGAAUUCCACGUGUAGCAGUGAAAUGCGUAGAGAUGUGGGGGAACACCAAUGGCGAAGGCAGCCCCCUGGGUCGAUACUGACGCUCAUGCACGAAAGCGUGGGUAGCAAACAGGAUUAGAUACCCUGGUAGUCCACGCCCUAAACGAUGUCAACUAGGUGUUGGGAGGGUAAAACCUUUCAGUACCGGAGCUAACGCGUGAAGUUGACCGCCUGGGGAGUACGGCCGCAAGGUUAAAACUCUAAGGAAUUGACGGGGACCCGCACAAGCGGUGGAUGAUGUGGAUUAAUUCGAUGCAACGCGAAAAACCUUACCUACCCUUGACAUGCCAAGAACUUUCCAGAGAUGGAUUGGUGCCCGAAAGGGAGCUUGGACACAGGUGCUGCAUGGCUGUCGUCAGCUCGUGUCGUGAGAUGUAGGGUUAAGUCCCGCAACGAGCGCAACCCUUGUCGUUAAUUGCCAUCAUUCAGUUGGGCACUUUAACGAGACUGCCGGUGACAAACCGGAGGAAGGUGGGGAUGACGUCAAGUCCUCAUGGCCCUUAUGGGUAGGGCUUCACACGUCAUACAAUGGUCGGUACGAAGGGUCGCCAAGCCGCGAGGUGGAG
This 1258-nucleotide ribosomal RNA is filed under the name metagenome. RNAcentral describes it as "bacterial SSU rRNA". It matches the Rfam family "Bacterial small subunit ribosomal RNA", at positions 15 to 1267 of the family's 1533-position model. The record is from RNAcentral.